Non-coding RNA from Paramuricea clavata, 368 nucleotides. The record is from the annotation of a GenBank genome assembly. Lineage: Eukaryota; Metazoa; Cnidaria; Anthozoa; Malacalcyonacea; Plexauridae.
UUUUGGUCCGUUUUGUAAGAUCUGCCUAACGGAUGCUGGUGGAAAUUGACCUCAUGUUACUGUUGCGGAACGAAUACCCUCGAAUCUCGUAAAAAUUGAACCAGUUAAAGUUGAUAAUUGUGCAUGAGAGUUUGAUGGUAAUUGCAGUCAAAUGUCACGGAUGGUGAUUGCAUGUUUCGUUUACUUGGCCUUUUAAAUAAUCUCGUACAUGACAUGUUAGACGGUGGGAAAAUGAACCGCUACUGCGGAAUAUGGAAUUAUGAACUCCGGUUUCUCUUAAUGCAUGCAUGCAUGCAAUUUUGACCUGGUAACUGUAGGAGCAAUUGGUCUAUUUGCUUAAAUUUUCAGUACAGUCUGUUUUGCCAAUU